CAGAGCAUCAUGCCCUUCGGGGUAGAUCUCCCACCCUAUGUAUUACAUACCUUUUGUUGCUUUGGCAGGCCGCUUCGGCCACCGGCUUCGGCUGGUGCGUGCCUGCCAGAGGACCCCAAACUCUGAAUGUUAGUGUCGUCUGAGUACUAUAUAAUAGUUA
This 160-nucleotide unclassified non-coding RNA is filed under the name uncultured fungus. RNAcentral's name for it is "sequence contains ITS1, 5.8S rRNA gene". RNAcentral also lists the same sequence under 1 other name. Lineage: Eukaryota; Fungi. The record is from RNAcentral.